AUAUCACAAGUGGGUUCUAGGCCUAGAACCCACUUGUAACAUGGUAUCAGAGCCAUGAUUAAAGCCUAUCCUAGCGAGUUCUAAGUGAACAUUUCUGUUUCUAUUCCACCCAUUGUCGGGCCAAUAUUGGACCACCCAAUUUCUACUAUCACGCACGAAAUGUCUAUACCUCAGCGUGAAGGGGGUGUGUUGGAAGUCUCACAUCGACUAGAGAUAAGGCCAAUCUAUAAUAUAUAAGUGAGGUGCAAACCUCAUUCUUACAAGCCGGUUUUGUAGGGUUGAGUUAGGCCUCACUUCUAAUAUCUAAAACUCACUUCUAAUAUGGUAUCAGAGCCUAAGGUUCCUCUAAGGUAAAAGUUUCUGGUGCCUCUUCCACUACAUCAGUCGCUGCCGGCGGCGGGCCAUCUACCGCUGCCGGUGGCGCCAUCAUCUACCGUUGUUGUCUAUCGAUGCCACUAUCAGAGUUUAAGUUUCAACCGAUGAUCACACAGUUUUGAUCGUCUCAACCAAUUUCUCUAUCCUGUUCAUCCAUGGCUUCUUCCGCUACUGUCUCUUCUGACCUCUUUUUUAUCACUGUUGCGUUUGACCCGUCCAUAUAUGCUUUUUCCCAUGGAAAAGAUGGUUUGUUGUUAGUUUAUUUAUAGUCGUGGUGGCUCUCCAACAAUUACCUCUUUAUCCACUGGUGGCAUUCCUCAAGGGUGAUUUGCAAGAAGAGAUUUACAUGGAGCAACCUCCCAAAUUUGUUGCUCAUGGGGAGUCUUUUGGGUUGGUAUUUUUUCUUCUAUGUAGUCUUGCAAAUCAUUAGCAAUUUGGUGUCUGUGGAGUGCAGAAGCAGAUAUUUUCACCAAGUUUUUAUGGAUUAUUUUAGUAACAAGCUUGGUACAUACAAGAGGAGUGUCAGAUAUAUUAUAUUUAGUUAUAUUAUAUUU
This 929-nucleotide long non-coding RNA is filed under the name Vigna radiata. RNAcentral's name for it is "long non-coding RNA (VRAD_LNC009101)". Lineage: Eukaryota; Viridiplantae; Streptophyta; Magnoliopsida; Fabales; Fabaceae. The record is from RNAcentral.